Molecule: ribosomal RNA, 253 nt
Filed under: uncultured bacterium
Lineage: Bacteria
Description: partial 16S ribosomal RNA
Rfam family: Bacterial small subunit ribosomal RNA
Source: RNAcentral
UACGGAGGGGGCAAGCGUUGUUCGGAAUUACUGGGCGUAAAGGGCUCGUAGGCGGCCAAUUAAGUCAGACGUGAAAUCCCACGGCUUAACCGGGGAACUGCGUCUGAUACUGGUUGUCUUGAGUUUGGGAGAGGGAUGCGGAAUUCCAGGUGUAGCGGUGAAAUGCGUAGAUAUCUGGAGGAACACCGGUGGCGAAGGCGGCAUCCUGGACCAACACUGACGCUGAGGAGCGAAAGCUAGGGGAGCAAACGGG